Molecule: ribosomal RNA, 253 nt
Filed under: uncultured bacterium
Lineage: Bacteria
Description: partial 16S ribosomal RNA
Rfam family: Bacterial small subunit ribosomal RNA
Source: RNAcentral
UACAGAGGGGGCAAGCGUUGUUCGGAAUUACUGGGCGUAAAGGGCGCGUAGGCGGCCCGCUAAGUCGAACGUGAAAUCCCCGAGCUCAACUCGGGAACUGCGUCCGAUACUGGCGGGCUUGAAUCCGGGAGAGGGAUGCGGAAUUCCCGGUGUAGCGGUGAAAUGCGUAGAUAUCUGGAGGAACACCGGUGGCGAAGGCGGCAUCCUGGACCGGCAUUGACGCUGAGGCGCGAAAGCUAGGGGAGCAAACGGG